Molecule: unclassified non-coding RNA, 309 nt
Filed under: fungal sp.
Lineage: Eukaryota; Fungi
Description: partial internal transcribed spacer region
Rfam family: Eukaryotic small subunit ribosomal RNA (bases 1-46)
Source: RNAcentral
AAGUCGUAACAAGGUUUCCGUAGGUGAACCUGCGGAAGGAUCAUUCAUGUGAUUUUUAAACACCCCAACCUCUUGCAAACUAUUAGUAUUAAAAGUGUUAAAGGUUCUGUGUUUUUCUUUUGUUGGCUGCGUUUUCUUUCACCUCAUUCUAUUUUCAUAGCACUUUAAACUUUGGGUAUAUUUUUACCUAGAAAAUAGGAAAAGAAAUGAUAAAUGCUACCUUUUAAUUACACUAUAAUUCACCCAGAAUUCUACCAUGAAUACACCUAAAAUUAUUACAACUUUUAACGAUGGAUCCCUCGGCUCUUA